Non-coding RNA from Haliotis rubra (blacklip abalone), 72 nucleotides. NCBI's taxonomy places the organism in Eukaryota, Metazoa, Mollusca, Gastropoda, Lepetellida, Haliotidae. The record is from the annotation of a RefSeq genome assembly.
GCAGUGAUAGUCUAGUGGUUAGGACUUUGGGUUGUGGCCGCAAGAACCCCGGUUCGAAUCCGGGUCACGGCA